RNAcentral lists this ribosomal RNA (451 nucleotides) under uncultured bacterium. Its description in RNAcentral is "partial 16S ribosomal RNA". It matches the Rfam family "Bacterial small subunit ribosomal RNA", at positions 29 to 523 of the family's 1533-position model. The record is from RNAcentral.
AACGAACGCUGGCGGCAGGCUUAACACAUGCAAGUCGAACGGGUGCAGCAAUGCAUCAGUGGCAGACGGGUGAGUAACACGUGGGAACCUUCCUAGGGGUACGGAACAACUCAGGGAAACUUGAGCUAAUACCGUAUACGUCCGUGAGGAGAAAGAUUUAUCGCCCUUAGACGGGCCCGCGUCGGAUUAGCUAGUUGGUGGGGUAAUGGCCUACCAAGGCGACGAUCCGUAGCUGAUCUUAGAGGAUGAUCAGCCACACUGGGACUGAGACACUGCCCAGACUCCUACGNNNGUCAGUAGUGGGGNAUCUUGGACAAUGGGCGCAAGCCUGAUCCAGCCAUGCCNCGUGAGUGAAGAAGGUCUUCGGAUUGUNANNCNCUUUUGCNNGGGNCGAUAAUGANGGNACCUGGAGAAUAAGCCCCGGCAAACUUCGUGCCAGCCGCCGCAGUAA